Molecule: non-coding RNA, 1439 nt
Organism: Linepithema humile (Argentine ant)
Lineage: Eukaryota; Metazoa; Arthropoda; Insecta; Hymenoptera; Formicidae
Source: RefSeq, a predicted model, not a curated record
AAAAGAAUAUUUCCAAUGGUGUCACUUGUAAAAGCGGACAGAAAAGAAAGAACGAAAUCAAUCUGUCGAUACAACCGAAACCUAAACAGCUGAAAUCAGAUGCAAAGAAUGAUGAUCCGUAUUUAAAUGUCAAAGAUCGGCAAUCUACUUCAAUUAUUGUAGAUGUGUUAGCCUCAACGAUUGAUAACGCUUCACGUGGCAAAAUAAUUGAUGUAACGGGGAAAACUUGGACGCUAAUAAAGCAAAUAAAUGAUAAUAAGGCGGAUCCGCAAUUGGAUAAUAUUCAAUCGAAAAAAAAAGACAACUCCAGGGAGGGUCAAUACAAAAUUAGAUAAUCUGAAGACUUUAAACGUUUCCUCUAUAAAUUAUCUCCAACUCAUGAAAAUGCUGGAAGGAAUUGUUGUAACCCUUGAAGUCUUGGCAAAUCAAGGCCUCAUUCUAAAUGUACUUGAAGCGUCAGCAUUUACAUAAAACGGGAUUGCUUAUUUGGGAAGGUUCGAAGACAAAUAUAAUUUUGAUCUAUCUUUCAAGUCGGUAGAAGAGUUCCAAAACUUUGAUGUACAAUUGAAGGACCCUACUUGUCUCAAGGAUUUUAUGGCGUCCUUAUUUUGUUUAAUAGAUAGUUGUAGACAAUAUACAAAAACUAUUAACAACGUUUUAAAAAAAUAUGUCUCGGGACGUUGCACUGAAAUAUACUGCACAAAAAUAAUGUGCAGAUAAAUUUAUCCUAAAGGGAACAAUUUUUUGUAAAUGUUGAUACGUAAAAUAUUUCAAAAUAUUACUACAUACAUAUAUUAUACAUAUGAGUUAACUUUUUUCAAGAGAAUUUUGUAAUGUAUUAAUAUAAUAAACGAUUAUAAUAUUUUAGACGUGGUGCUAAGUAAGCACACCAAUGAAAAUAAUUCACAACUUACUGAGAAGGAAGUCUUAUCCAGCUUGGGUACAUGCGUAACCAAUGCUAAGGAUUGGGACGGAUUUCGUGUGAAGCGAAAUAAGCAGUAAAGUUAUUAUUUUUAACGAAUCGCUUUUUAUUUCAUAUUUAUAUAGGUGUAGUAAUUUAUGCUUAUUACUUGCAAUUCUACAAGGAAGAAAACUAUAAACCCAAAGAGGACUUCCGUUUCCGGCGCAGUAGCGAGAGGCACGUGGUGAUUGAGCGUGAGUGAGUGACGGAAAGGAGAGAGUGUGUGGAAGGAGAGGAAAGGUAGGAGUGUGUGGAGGAGAGAGUGGAGGUGUGAGUGAGAGCGUGUGAAUGAGGUGGGCAUAGGGAAGGGCAGGAUAGAAGGGAAAAAGGGCCCAGAGUAUAGAGUGACAGGUGGGCAGGUGGGCUGGCAUAGACUACGGCGUGUAAAGAGAGGAAGAGGUGGUGCGAGUGGGCAGGGAUGGAUGGUAAGGCGCGAUCUGGCGGGAUAGAAAAGAGGAAGGCAAGGGAAAGAUGCAUG